This 777-nucleotide long non-coding RNA is filed under the name Phasianus colchicus (ring-necked pheasant). RNAcentral describes it as "lncRNA (ENSPCLG00000001018.1)". Lineage: Eukaryota; Metazoa; Chordata; Aves; Galliformes; Phasianidae. The record is from RNAcentral.
AUAGCACUGAAUUUGUGACACCACAAUUAUUUCCAUGGCAACUAGUUACUGUCAAGCAGAGAAGCACUGCAAGGACAGCAGAGUAGGAGUGAUACAAUCAGCAAUUUUAUUCUGUCCAGAGAAUUCCAAGCUGUUGGAGAGUGCACAUAGUGACAGAAAGGCCAACACAAAAGGCCCUGCACAAAUCAGAUUACUUGUAAUGAAAGUAGGAAUAAUGAUCUCCAAUCAACUGCAGCUAAUUUACAUUUACUGCACCCUUCAAGAAGUGUCUGAAAUAAGAAUUGUGCUCUCCGGAGACAGAGAAAAGACUUUUCAUCAUCCAAAGCCCUGUCAGUGGGUUGAGAAGCCAACACCAGAACCAUUAAUGUCUGCCUAAUUGACUUCUGUGGCUAAGUUUAUAAACUGGCAAGAACACCUUUUAUAUACAUUUGAGUAAGUAUGGACAUAUAUAAACAAACCUAUUUUUAAAAAAAUGGAGAGGGAAAGAAGUCACAUCUUUUAUAAAUCAAAUAUACAAUAUUAAUUAAUUCUUGUAAAUCCAUGAGAUUGAGAAUGAUAAAAUCCCGAGUACCAAUAAUCACUCAGUUAACAGCACAGUAGUCUAAAAUUUAUUCACUUGCAGGCACUUGUGUCAGAAAAGGAUAAUGUGGUCAUUUUACUGUGACCACCAAUUGUUAAGACAUAAGUAUCAUGAAUAGCUUAAAAAACUUUGGCCUCCAACCUGUGUUAAGUUACUUGCUAAAUUUACUCCCUAAUAAAAUGAAAUUGAAUAAAACA